GACAGAGGUUGCAAGCGUUGUUCGGAAUUACUGGGCAUAAAGCGCACGUAGGCGGUCCGCUAAGUCAUGUGUGAAAUCCCCCGGCUCAACCGGGGAAUGGCGCCUGAUACUGGCGGACUCGAGAUCGGUAGGGGUGAGUGGAACUCCAGGUGGAGCGGUGAAAUGCGUAGAUAUCUGGAGGAACACCGGUGGCGAAAGCGACUCACUGGACCGACACUGACGCUGAGGUGUGAAAGCUAGGGUAGCAAACGGG
RNAcentral lists this ribosomal RNA (253 nucleotides) under uncultured bacterium. RNAcentral describes it as "partial 16S ribosomal RNA". It matches the Rfam family "Bacterial small subunit ribosomal RNA", at positions 524 to 776 of the family's 1533-position model. The record is from RNAcentral.